ACACAUGCAGUCGAACGAUGAUNCUCCACUUGUGGGNGGAUUAGUGGCGAACGGGUGAGUAACACGUGAGUAACCUGCCCUUGACUCUGGGAUAAGCCUGGGAAACUGGGUCUAAUACCGGAUAUGACUGACUAUCGCAUGGUGGUUGGUGGAAAGCUUUUGUGGUUUUGGAUGGACUCGCGGCCUAUCAGCUUGUUGGUGGGGUAAUGGCCUACCAAGGCGACGACGGGUAGCCGGCCUGAGAGGGUGACCGGCCACACUGGGACUGAGACACGGCCCAGACUCCUACGGGAGGCAGCAGUGGGGAAUAUUGCACAAUGGGCGGAAGCCUGAUGCAGCGACGCCGCGUGAGGGAUGACGGCCUUCGGGUUGUAAACCUCUUUCAGUAGGGAAGAAGCGUAAGUGACGGUACCUGCAGAAGAAGCGCCGGCUAACUACGUGCCAGCAGCCGCGGUAAUACGUAGGGCGCAAGCGUUAUCCGGAAUUAUUGGGCGUAAAGAGCUCGUAGGCGGUUUGUCGCGUCUGCCGUGAAAGUCCGGGGCUCAACUCCGGAUCUGCGGUGGGUACGGGCAGACUAGAGUGAUGUAGGGGAGACUGGAAUUCCUGGUGUAGCGGUGAAAUGCGC
RNAcentral lists this ribosomal RNA (625 nucleotides) under bacterium xpnta643lb354onp10.8. Its description in RNAcentral is "bacterial SSU rRNA". It matches the Rfam family "Bacterial small subunit ribosomal RNA", at positions 51 to 691 of the family's 1533-position model. The record is from RNAcentral.